GCUGGUUUGUGUUCUGCAGGAGCAGAAGAUUCCUCUAUAAAGGUUCCUCUGUGGACGAUGUGAGUGAGAUCAGUGUGGCAGAAGACACCAUGUGCCAGAGCGCCACCACCAGCCUUCCCCAGGUAAAAGCAAGAACCCGCACCACCACAGGGGGGUGCAGUCACGCUAACCUCCAGGUCAGGUCCAAGAUCUGAAGCCUUUCUGUGUGCAGCUCUGUCCCGCAGCGGAGCGGCGAGUGGCGCCCACAGACUCUCCAGAAACCGCCAGGAGUUCCUCCUUCCCUCCAGAAACAGACACAGGAUCUUGGUCCAAACACAUCAGGUACCAGAGUCCUGCAGCACCUACUGUUGUCAUGGAGACCACCCAACCGGACAUCAACCCCUCCAGGCCAUCACAGUCGAGCUCCGCGUCGCUCCAGGAUCCUUUCUAACUCCAUCGCGGCGGCACGGUCUCUGCAGAAAAAACUCAAAGCAGCACAAAGUUUUCUGCUGAUCGUCAUCGAAAACAAAGUUAUUGUGACUGAGCGUCGACAGAAGAUAACUACUAUCUGUUUGAAAUGAAGCUCCGCUGCAUGCUGAGCGUGCACACAAAGGUUCAUGCUUCAUGAGCUGCUUCAACUAUUUCUGGUUCAGAGAACACCAUAACAGUGGUUAACACUCUCGGUCCCGGUCCAAAUCCUGGCUGGGUCCUGCGUGUUCAUCUUGUGCAUGCGUGGGUUGUCCGGUUUUCUCCCAAACACAUGAUCCAGAGGUUCACCGCUGACUCUAGAUUGCCCUGAUGUGUGCGUGUGGUCCGGCCACAGACUGGUGACCGGUUCAGAGGACGCCCCCACACUCACGCAACAGUAGCCGGGUUGGCUCCACCCCAAAAGGGGCGGAGUGGGUUCUGAAGACGGAUGGAGAAAAAUAUAAGACGAGGAGUUUUCAAAAGUCUCUUAUUUUCUUCAGUUGUAAAAAAGGGAAAAAACCCUGAAAUGAAGUAUGUAGUCAGAACUUGUCUUGCUGUUCUCUGAAAUAAAGUAAAAUGUUCUAAAC
RNAcentral lists this long non-coding RNA (1034 nucleotides) under Oryzias javanicus (javanese ricefish). RNAcentral's name for it is "lncRNA (ENSOJAG00000011219.1)". The record is from RNAcentral. Lineage: Eukaryota; Metazoa; Chordata; Actinopteri; Beloniformes; Adrianichthyidae.